Long non-coding RNA from Wyeomyia smithii (pitcher-plant mosquito), 353 nucleotides. RefSeq lists it as uncharacterized. NCBI's taxonomy places the organism in Eukaryota, Metazoa, Arthropoda, Insecta, Diptera, Culicidae. The record is from RefSeq and is a predicted model, not a curated record. The transcript is spliced from 2 exons.
UCGAUUCCUCGAAGCAGAUCGAUCCAAGAUCGACGAAUCCUAAUCGAAAUCAGCAUAAUUUUACUCUUGCUUCUUGCAAUUAAGUCGUUUGUCGUGUUCUAAAGAAUUAUUGGUGUGGUGUUCAAGCUUGUAGUUGGACCAAGAAUUAAACAAAAAGCAAGUUCCAAAAUGGCGAACAGAGGAUGGAAGUUCACCCGCUGCUUAGAAUAUAUUGUUAGGCCAGCGAAAAUCUAUCCCACUUAGUGGUUAUUUUCGCUGGCUUUCGGCGAUAUGAUGACUACUUUUUAGAGAAGUCUUUGAGUUCAGUGAUUUUGUCCAAGAUGUUGUUUAAUAAAAGUAAAACAUUCUGUGUA